Long non-coding RNA from Chrysemys picta bellii (western painted turtle), 2730 nucleotides. RefSeq lists it as uncharacterized. Lineage: Eukaryota; Metazoa; Chordata; Testudines; Emydidae. The record is from RefSeq and is a predicted model, not a curated record.
GAAACUCCAGGGGGCAGCGCUGGAGCUCCAAGGAGAGGGAGAGGCAGCCUGCAGGCCCUGGAAAAGUGAAGCAGAGAACCUGCCCGAGGCCUGGGACGGACAGGGCCGAUUGGGGACAGGACAGGAGCCAGGAGGAGCACUGUGCCAGGGAGGAAUUGCCGAGAAGGACAGGCCGGAGCUGGACGCAGUAUCACUGCUGCCCAGAGCUGCAUGGGGCUAAACCUCCAUCCCUUACUGAAGAUUCCUUCCAUAACCAGACAUCUCCACCCGAUGGAAUUGAUGCCCUCUUCAGAGAAGGUGAUAGCAGAGCAGCUUCAGGAGGUGUGGUGGGAAAAGAAAGUCGCACAUUAAACCUGGGGCCUUGCAACUGCAGAGGGGAGGGCUGGGGGGGGCGCGCUGAACUGAGGGGCUUCACAGUGGGGACUCAGAUUUCCUUGAAACAGCCAUGCCAGUUCCAGUCGAGCUAUGGAGAGACAAGCGGUGAAGACAGUGGAGUAACAGCCUGCAGGACCCCGAGGGAGGAGAAAGAGAUACAGGCUGCUAAACUGACACCAGCCAAAAGUUGGCCGCAUUUUCUUUGAACCAUGAAGGAAUAGCACAGGCAAGUCAGACGUGACCAUGUUAAAGGAGCCAUGAGAAAAUAAAAACAAGUGACAGCUGACUCUUGAAGUGCUUGUGGGGGUGGGGCGAGAAAGAGAGGAGAGAGAGAGAGAUCAAAAUAUUGGGGGAAGGGCAGUCUGCAACCCAGGAGCCUUCUGCAGCAGCAGAUGGAGAGGAAAGUUACUGCUGAUUCCUGCAGAGUCCGGGAAGUAAAGAGACAACAUGUAAUAAUGAGGUGAUCUCAGAAAUAGACAACCAGGGGCAAGAACAAAAAGAGGACGCAGGAGAGAGAAACCCAGAACUGUGCACCAGGGGCUCUUCUCUCAGGCGUUGCUGCUGUGAGUAUUGCUUGCUGGCUAGAUGGAAGUUUCAGGCAGAAGGCCUGCCAAGGAGACUAGAAGAAUGGGUCAGAGUGAGGCUUUGGUGGGAGUAGAUGAGAGAUAGGGGAGACCAUGAUAUGGGGAAGUUUGGGGAGGAUGGAAGAGAAUACUGUUUCUUGAUGCCACAGAAUAAGGGAUUUCUCCUUCCUCAGCCCCAGUAAUUAGGGACAAAGUGGAAGGGCCAGGUACCAUGGAGAGCCUAAUUCCCCUCACCCUGGGUUUUGGAUUGAGUUUCCUUUAACUGACCAUGGGACACAGCAGCAGAGAUUGAAAUUGCGUUGUCUGCCUUUAUGGCAGCAGCGAUUGCACACUACGGUGCAGACGAUUCCUGUUACCACAGACACUCUUGUUAUGAUUGACACCUCAGGGUUAGUUCAAGGUCGCUGUUAGAACAUCGCCGUUUAUUUGAAUGACAGAGUCAGUCCAUGACCACAGGCCAGGGCUAAUUAAUUAAGAGCCCAAUUCCAUCAUUUAGGUAGAGGCUAUAAUAAGGGAUGAUGCAGAGCCAUUGCACCCCACAAGGAGUUUGAGUAGAAAUUCUCACUCAGGGAGAUUCUUCCCUGAGCUCUCCUGCACUCACGCAGCGCACAUCCACUCAUACACCCCUUCAUGGAUUCAAGGCAGAUUAUUUUCCUUGCCCCUUUUUGGGCACAAUGGUAUCCCAGGGAACUAGGGCCUGCAGGUGUGCCUAGCUAUUAUAUGGGCCAUAAAAGGGGGAAGAGGAGGUGAUGAUAGGCUCCUUGAGACCCAUCAGGCCAUAAUUUAGAGAAUAAUAGAUGGCAAACAGACUUUUGAUUGGAAGAAUAUCAUUUUAAAAUACGGUGGGAAAAAGGUUAGGCCACAAGCCUCUAUAAUAACUAACUUCUUUUGCAAUAUAAAAUAACAUAUCUAACAACUGAAAAAAUUCUUUAAAAUGGGGAACAUUGAUACAGAUCUAGGCUGGCUUUGUAACUUAGUAGUUUGCACUUUUAAACAGGUGUGGUGGGACUGUACCAAGUCCAGAUUUUGGGGAACAAAUAUUCAGAGAAAGCAACCUGAUCCUAGAGCCUCUACACACAUUACAAUGUCUCCUGCUUUGCCUGGCUUGGAUAACAUCCCAUUGUCGUGUGUCAAUAGUAAAGAACCACAGCAAAAGUCACUUUCUUCUAACACUGAACAAGGAACUGUAUUAAAAAAGUAUAAUCCCUAAAGCUACACUAUCUCUCUCUUACUUUUUCACUAUAGAGCUAUUGCCUGGAAUCUUUUCAGGUUGCCAUAAUAUGUAGGUCUACCAACCCAGGUAGACAGACUUGUGCUAGUUUGGUUCGGACUAACAUGAUAAAAAUAUCAGUGUGAAUGUUGCCGCACUAGUGGAGGCUCAGGCUAGUCACCCAACCUUGGACGCACUUGAUCCCCCUGGGGCUGAGCUUAGGUUGCUAGCCUCAGCCUCCGGCAGUGCUGUAAUGUCCACGUGCUAUUUUUAACAUGGUAGCUCGAGCUGAGCUAGACCGUAUCUGACUACCUGGGCUGGGAGCCAUGCUCCCAGUGCAGUCUAGACAUACCCUUAGGUGACCAAACUGCCCAACUAAAUAUUCUUUAUACCUUAUUGACCCAUUGGGUUAUACUGAAGUGUAUUCUGUUUUGCGUAAUUAUAUGACCUCCCCCUGUAAUAUUUUUUUCUAUUGUUAUGUGAUUCUAAACUUGUGUACAAUUUUCACGUAUCCAAGUGACUUAGGAGCCUAAGUCCCAAUAAAAGCUUUUAUGUUGUCAA